CAGACGGGUGAGUAACACGUGGUCAACCUACCCUCGAGUGGGGGAUAACUAGCCGAAAGGUUAGCUAAUACCGCAUAAAACGUAGCGAGGCAUCUCGCAACGUUAAAAGGAGCAAUCCGCCCGUUGACGGGACCGCGUCCGAUUAGCUAGUUGGUGGGGUAAUGGCCCACCAAGGCUCCGAUCGGUAGCUGGUUUGAGAGAGCGACCAGCCACACUGGGACUGAGAAACGGCCCAG
Molecule: ribosomal RNA, 236 nt
Filed under: uncultured bacterium
Lineage: Bacteria
Description: partial 16S ribosomal RNA
Rfam family: Bacterial small subunit ribosomal RNA
Source: RNAcentral